AGCCCAGAGCCUGAAUCAGUGUGUGUGUUAGUGGAAGCGUCUGGAAAGGCGCGCGAUACAGGGUGACAGCCCCGUACACAAAAAUGCACAUACUGUGAGCUCGAUGAGUAGGGCGGGACACGUGGUAUCCUGUCUGAAUAUGGGGGGACCAUCCUCCAAGGCUAAAUACUCCUGACUGACCGAUAGUGAACCAGUACCGUGAGGGAAAGGCGAAAAGAACCCCUGCGAGGGGAGUGAAAAAGAACCUGAAACCGUGUACGUACAAGCAGUGGGAGCACGCUUAGGCGUGUGACUGCGUACCUUUUGUAUAAUGGGUCAGCGACUUAUAUUCUGUAGCAAGGUUAACCGAAUAGGGGAGCCGAAGGGAAACCGAGUCUUAACUGGGCGUUAAGUUGCAGGGUAUAGACCCGAAACCCGGUGAUCUAGCCAUGGGCAGGUUGAAGGUUGGGUAACACUAACUGGAGGACCGAACCGACUAAUGUUGAAAAAUUAGCGGAUGACUUGUGGCUGGGGGUGAAAGGCCAAUCAAACCGGGAGAUAGCUGGUUCUCCCCGAAAGCUAUUUAGGUAGCGCCUCGUGAAUUCAUCUCCGGGGGUAGAGCACUGUUUCGGCAAGGGGGUCAUCCCGACUUACCAACCCGAUGCAAACUGCGAAUACCGGAGAAUGUUAUCACGGGAGACACACGGCGGGUGCUAACGUCCGUCGUGAAGAGGGAAACAACCCAGACCGCCAGCUAAGGUCCCAAAGUCAUGGUUAAGUGGGAAACGAUGUGGGAAGGCCCAGACAGCCAGGAUGUUGGCUUAGAAGCAGCCAUCAUUUAAAGAAAGCGUAAUAGCUCACUGGUCGAGUCGGCCUGCGCGGAAGAUGUAACGGGGCUAAACCAUGCACCGAAGCUGCGGCAGCGACGCUUAUGCGUUGUUGGGUAGGGGAGCGUUCUGUAAGCCUGCGAAGGUGUGCUGUGAGGCAUGCUGGAGGUAUCAGAAGUGCGAAUGCUGACAUAAGUAACGAUAAAGCGGGUGAAAAGCCCGCUCGCCGGAAGACCAAGGGUUCCUGUCCAACGUUAAUCGGGGCAGGGUGAGUCGACCCCUAAGGCGAGGCCGAAAGGCGUAGUCGAUGGGAAACAGGUUAAUAUUCCUGUACUUGGUGUUACUGCGAAGGGGGGACGGAGAAGGCUAUGUUGGCCGGGCGACGGUUGUCCCGGUUUAAGCGUGUAGGCUGGUUUUCCAGGCAAAUCCGGAAAAUCAAGGCUGAGGCGUGAUGACGAGGCACUACGGUGCUGAAGCAACAAAUGCCCUGCUUCCAGGAAAAGCCUCUAAGCAUCAGGUAACAUCAAAUCGUACCCCAAACCGACACAGGUGGUCAGGUAGAGAAUACCAAGGCGCUUGAGAGAACUCGGGUGAAGGAACUAGGCAAAAUGGUGCCGUAACUUCGGGAGAAGGCACGCUGAUAUGUAGGUGAGGUCCCUCGCGGAUGGAGCUGAAAUCAGUCGAAGAUACCAGCUGGCUGCAACUGUUUAUUAAAAACACAGCACUGUGCAAACACGAAAGUGGACGUAUACGGUGUGACGCCUGCCCGGUGCCGGAAGGUUAAUUGAUGGGGUUAGCGCAAGCGAAGCUCUUGAUCGAAGCCCCGGUAAACGGCGGCCGUAACUAUAACGGUCCUAAGGUAGCGAAAUUCCUUGUCGGGUAAGUUCCGACCUGCACGAAUGGCGUAAUGAUGGCCAGGCUGUCUCCACCCGAGACUCAGUGAAAUUGAACUCGCUGUGAAGAUGCAGUGUACCCGCGGCAAGACGGAAAGACCCCGUGAACCUUUACUAUAGCUUGACACUGAACAUUGAGCCUUGAUGUGUAGGAUAGGUGGGAGGCUUAGAAGUGUGGACGCCAGUCUGCAUGGAGCCGACCUUGAAAUACCACCCUUUAAUGUUUGAUGUUCUAACGUUGACCCGUAAUCCGGGUUGCGGACAGUGUCUGGUGGGUAGUUUGACUGGGGCGGUCUCCUCCUAAAGAGUAACGGAGGAGCACGAAGGUUGGCUAAUCCUGGUCGGACAUCAGGAGGUUAGUGCAAUGGCAUAAGCCAGCUUGACUGCGAGCGUGACGGCGCGAGCAGGUGCGAAAGCAGGUCAUAGUGAUCCGGUGGUUCUGAAUGGAAGGGCCAUCGCUCAACGGAUAAAAGGUACUCCGGGGAUAACAGGCUGAUACCGCCCAAGAGUUCAUAUCGACGGCGGUGUUUGGCACCUCGAUGUCGGCUCAUCACAUCCUGGGGCUGAAGUAGGUCCCAAGGGUAUGGCUGUUCGCCAUUUAAAGUGGUACGCGAGCUGGGUUUAGAACGUCGUGAGACAGUUCGGUCCCUAUCUGCCGUGGGCGCUGGAGAACUGAGGGGGGCUGCUCCUAGUACGAGAGGACCGGAGUGGACGCAUCACUGGUGUUCGGGUUGUCAUGCCAAUGGCACUGCCCGGUAGCUAAAUGCGGAAGAGAUAAGUGCUGAAAGCAUCUAAGCACGAAACUUGCCCCGAGAUGAGUUCUCCCUGAC
RNAcentral lists this ribosomal RNA (2529 nucleotides) under Escherichia coli. RNAcentral describes it as "partial 23S ribosomal RNA". It matches the Rfam family "Bacterial large subunit ribosomal RNA", at positions 296 to 2819 of the family's 2925-position model. The record is from RNAcentral. Lineage: Bacteria; Pseudomonadati; Pseudomonadota; Gammaproteobacteria; Enterobacterales; Enterobacteriaceae.